GGAGAGACUGUGUGGUUGGUGGUAGAGUGUAUGCUUUGCAUGCAAAAGAUCCCAGGUUUGAUUCCUGGCAACUCCA
Molecule: transfer RNA, 76 nt
Filed under: Sphaerodactylus townsendi
Lineage: Eukaryota; Metazoa; Chordata; Lepidosauria; Squamata; Sphaerodactylidae
Description: tRNA-Ala
Source: RNAcentral